Molecule: ribosomal RNA, 442 nt
Filed under: Salmonella enterica subsp. enterica serovar Montevideo
Lineage: Bacteria; Pseudomonadati; Pseudomonadota; Gammaproteobacteria; Enterobacterales; Enterobacteriaceae
Description: bacterial SSU rRNA
Rfam family: Bacterial small subunit ribosomal RNA
Source: RNAcentral
CCUACGGGAGGCUGCAGUGGGGAAUAUUGGGCAAUGGGCGCAAGCCUGACCCAGCAACGCCGCGUGAGGGAAGAAGGUUUUCGGAUUGUAAACCUCUGUCGCAGAAGACGAAGGAAGUGACGGUAAUCUGUGAGGAAGCCCCGGCUAACUACGUGCCAGCAGCCGCGGUAAUACGUAGGGGGCGAGCGUUGUCCGGAAUUACUGGGCGUAAAGGGAGCGUAGGCGGUUAAUUAAGUUAGAUGUGAAAUACCCGGGCUUAACUUGGGGGGUGCAUCUAAUACUGGUAAACUAGAGUACAGGAGAGGAAAGCGGAAUUCCUAGUGUAGCGGUGAAAUGCAUAGAUAUUAGGAGGAACAUCGGUGCGAAGGCGGCUUUCUGGACUGACACUGACGCUGAGGCUCGAAAGCGUGGGGAGCAAACAGGAUUAGAUACCCGGGUAGUC